CAGUCUGCAACUCGACUGCAUGAAGUCGGAAUCGCUGUAAUCGCGGAUCAGCAUGCCGCGGUGAAUACGUUCCCGGGCCUUGUACACACCGCCCGUCACACCAUGAGAGUCGGGAACACCCGAAGUCCGUAGCCUAACCGCAAGGAGGACGCAGUCGAAGGUGGGAUUGAUGACUGGGGCGAAGUCGUAACAAGGUAGC
RNAcentral lists this ribosomal RNA (199 nucleotides) under uncultured bacterium. Its description in RNAcentral is "partial 16S ribosomal RNA". It matches the Rfam family "Bacterial small subunit ribosomal RNA", at positions 1301 to 1500 of the family's 1533-position model. The record is from RNAcentral.